UAGAGAAGCUUAGUGCCUUCGGGAACUCUGAGACAGGUGCUGCAUGGCUGUCGUCAGCUCGUGUUGUGAAAUGUUGGGUUAAGUCCCGCAACGAGCGCAACCCUUAUCCUUUGUUGCCAGCACGUAAUGGUGGGAACUCAAAGGAGACUGCCGGUGAUAAACCGGAGGAAGGUGGGGAUGACGUCAAGUCAUCAUGGCCCUUACGAGUAGGGCUACACACGUGCUACAAUGGCGUAUACAAAGAGAAGCGAACUCGCGAGAGCCAGCGGACCUCAUAAAGUACGUCGUAGUCCGGAUCGGAGUCUGCAACUCGACUCCGUGAAGUCGGAAUCGCUAGUAAUCGUAGAUCAGAAUGCUACGGUGAAUACGUUCCCGGGUCU
This 380-nucleotide ribosomal RNA is filed under the name uncultured Serratia sp. RNAcentral's name for it is "bacterial SSU rRNA". It matches the Rfam family "Bacterial small subunit ribosomal RNA", at positions 1001 to 1381 of the family's 1533-position model. Lineage: Bacteria; Pseudomonadati; Pseudomonadota; Gammaproteobacteria; Enterobacterales; Yersiniaceae. The record is from RNAcentral.